GAUGAACGCUGGCGGCGUGCCUAAUACAUGCAAGUCGAGCGAGGUAUCGUUUUUGAUUGAAGGUGCUUGCACCUGAUUGAAGAAACAAUUUAUCGAGCGGCGGACGGGUGAGUAACACGUAGGUAACCUACCCUAGAGCGGGGGAUAACAUCUGGAAACAGGUGCUAAUACCGCAUAACAACAAACAUCGCAUGAUGAAUGUUUGAAAGAUGGUUUCGGCUAUCACUCUAGGAUGGACCUGCGGCGUAUUAGUUAGUUGGUGAGGUAACGGCUCACCAAGACGAUGAUACGUAGCCGAACUGAGAGGUUGAUCGGCCACACUGGGACUGAGACACGGCCCAGACUCCUACGGGAGGCAGCAGUAGGGAAUCUUCCACAAUGGACGAAAGUCUGAUGGAGCAACGCCGCGUGAGUGAAGAAGGUUUUCGGAUCGUAAAACUCUGUUGUUGGAGAAGAAUGUACUUGAUAGUAACUGAUCAGGUAGUGACGGUAUCCAACCAGAAAGCCACGGCUAACUACGUGCCAGCAGCCGCCGUAACAC
Molecule: ribosomal RNA, 541 nt
Filed under: uncultured bacterium
Lineage: Bacteria
Description: bacterial SSU rRNA
Rfam family: Bacterial small subunit ribosomal RNA
Source: RNAcentral